Molecule: ribosomal RNA, 1055 nt
Filed under: uncultured bacterium
Lineage: Bacteria
Description: bacterial SSU rRNA
Rfam family: Bacterial small subunit ribosomal RNA
Source: RNAcentral
CUCCUACGGGAGGCAGCAGUGAGGAAUAUUGGUCAAUGGCCGAGAGCUGAACCAGCCAAGUCGCGUGAAGGAAGAAGGAUCUAUGGUUUGUAAACUUCUUUUAUAGGGGAAUAAAGUGGAGGACGUGUCCUUUUUUGUAUGUACCCUAUGAAUAAGCAUCGGCUAACUCCGUGCCAGCAGCCGCGGUAAUACGGAGGAUGCGAGCGUUAUCCGGAUUUAUUGGGUUUAAAGGGUGCGUAGGUGGUGAUUUAAGUCAGCGGUGAAAGUUUGUGGCUCAACCAUAAAAUUGCCGUUGAAACUGGGUUACUUGAGUGUGUUUGAGGUAGGCGGAAUGCGUGGUGUAGCGGUGAAAUGCAUAGAUAUCACGCAGAACUCCGAUUGCGAAGGCAGCUUACUAAACCAUAACUGACACUGAAGCACGAAAGCGUGGGGAUCAAACAGGAUUAGAUACCCUGGUAGUCCACGCAGUAAACGAUGAUUACUAGGAGUUUGCGAUACAAUGUAAGCUCUACAGCGAAAGCGUUAAGUAAUCCACCUGGGGAGUACGCCGGCAACGGUGAAACUCAAAGGAAUUGACGGGGGCCCGCACAAGCGGAGGAACAUGUGGUUUAAUUCGAUGAUACGCGAGGAACCUUACCCGGGUUUGAACGUAGUCUGACCGGAGUGGAAACACUCCUUCUAGCAAUAGCAGAUUACGAGGUGCUGCAUGGUUGUCGUCAGCUCGUGCCGUGAGGUGUCGGCUUAAGUGCCAUAACGAGCGCAACCCUUAUCACUAGUUACUAACAGGUGAAGCUGAGGACUCUGGUGAGACUGCCAGCGUAAGCUGUGAGGAAGGUGGGGAUGACGUCAAAUCAGCACGGCCCUUACAUCCGGGGCGACACACGUGUUACAAUGGCAUGGACAAAGGGCAGCUACCUGGCGACAGGAUGCUAAUCUCCAAACCAUGUCUCAGUUCGGAUCGGAGUCUGCAACUCGACUCCGUGAAGCUGGAUUCGCUAGUAAUCGCGCAUCAGCCAUGGCGCGGUGAAUACGUUCCCGGGCCUUGUACACACCGC